GUGACCCUCGGGCGCGGUCGCGCAAUGCGCAGUCGCUGCCGGCAUACGACGCCGCCCCCUACCUCCCCUCUCCCGGGACCUUUCGCGCGACGGAAGACGGCGCGUUUCCCUCCCGCCUUCCUCCCUCGCGUGCUCCAGAUUCAGCGGCGAUCGUCGGAUGCCCUCGCGCACUUUCACUCGCACCUACACCAUGCGGUGCGCGGCAGCGGUGUUAUCGUCCUUGGACCUUGUACGCAACAUCAUGGAGAUGGCGACGGUGACGACGACUGAGAAAAUGCGCCUGGAGUGUCCAUAUUGCUACAUGCAUAUUGCGUGUUUCUUUGGAAUAUAAUUGGUAUCGCAAUAAAAUAAACGCACAAGCUUAGUCUAGAGCUGUGUACGGUGCAGUAAUAAUGCAUAAGUAGCGUAAAAAGGGUCAAAUGAAACCUUGCGCGAACACACACACACGCACACACUGCAACCACCCCCUCCUUCACGGACGGUCUCUCGUAGUGGGUGAGUGGCAGUAACCGAGAAAAGAAGAAGGAAGCUUGCCGGCCAUGGCUCAACAGGGACAGCAUCAACCAUCGACGGCGUCGGAAGCGUCCUUGCCACCACCGGAAGAGUGGAACGUCCACGGUACACCCGGCGCGUGACGGGGACCACCGAGUACGCGGCCCUGUGCACGUUCACCUACUGCCUGCCCGUGGGCGCGUGCGGCGUCGCAGUCCUCAUCAUUUACGUCUUCAUCGAGGAGACGGGAAUCUUCACGCCGUUCAGAGAGCGUA
Dermacentor albipictus is the source of this 767-nucleotide non-coding RNA. Lineage: Eukaryota; Metazoa; Arthropoda; Arachnida; Ixodida; Ixodidae. The record is from RefSeq and is a predicted model, not a curated record.